Odontomachus brunneus is the source of this 578-nucleotide long non-coding RNA. RefSeq lists it as uncharacterized. Lineage: Eukaryota; Metazoa; Arthropoda; Insecta; Hymenoptera; Formicidae. The transcript has 2 exons. The record is from RefSeq and is a predicted model, not a curated record.
UAUUGACUGGCUGUCGCGUGGCAAGCAUUACCGCGUCCUGUGUGCAGAAGCCAUAAGACGGUCUUGAAAUAAGAUUCGACUAUGAAUACCGGCUUUAAUCCGAAUGUACGGGGUGCUUAAAACGUUUAUGGCCGGUCCUGCGAGGAAUAGCUUGCGUUGUAAUCGGCGAUCAGAUAGAUUAUUGUUUGUGUUCGCAAAGUGCGGUACUAUGACGUGCCUGAUGACUUGCAUUGGGACACAUGCGGACGGUGAUAGCUCGCGAUGAACGUGGCGAUAAUCUCGCUAGCAUGAACGAAUGACGCAUAGCGUGCAACAUCACGAAACUAUCGUCGUGACAAUGUUUCGCUGACCACACGGUGACAGCGGCGGGACUUUGAUGGACUAAAAGACGAUCAACAAAUUUUCGGUUAGUCACUAUUGGUUACUGCUUGCUUGUUUCCUAGAGAUUGAUGUUUGAGAUUGGGAAGCGUUAUAGAAAUUAUUACAUUCGCAAUUUAAGGCGUUUUUUGGCGAUCGUUUGAUAAAUAUAGCAAUUUAUCAUGGAACAAAUUUACAUUUGAUAUAUAUAUAUAUAUAUA